AUGGAGGAUCUGAAGCUUACAGAAGCAGCGUUUUGAGAAGGAUUGAGAACUCUCCUGUUAGAGAUACACACAAAUGAGAAGAGAAUCAGGAGGCCUCGAACAUUCAGGUGGCUCAGUCCCCUCCCUUCCUGAGGAUCCACUGUCAAGAAUUUUUUGCUCCUGCAUCUACCCUACCCAUUUAUUCAACGAUAUGUAUUAAGCACUUACUAUAUGAUAGACAUUGUUCUUGGAGCUGGGAAGACAUCAGUGAACAAAAUAACCCUGAAUCCCUGACCUCGUGGAGCCGACAUUCUCGCAGAUCAGCAGCUGUGAAAGUGGAUGACUAUCCAUCCUUACCAUUGGUGACCUGAGAAACCAGCACUAUCCAGAUGUUAUAGUGAGCAACUUCCCUAGGCUUGGCAAUGCCAAACUUUCUCUAACACGCAAUCAGAAAUAGAGAACCAAGAGGAAACUACCACUCCCUAAGCUGCAAAUAACUGCAAACAAAUUUGGCCUGUAUACUGUUGUCACAUGUGAUUCCCUACCACCCACCUCCCUUUUUGGAUUCUUGUUAUAUGAGCUGGUUAAUAUUAAAUUUGAGAAAAGAGGGCCAGUAUUAAGGCUAAUAUAGUUUACUGCAGCUCUUCCUUAGACUUAUGAGUCAGCAAGAAAUAAAAAUCCAGGGGAGGGGAGAGGUACCUGUACACAUAGAUGCACACAUUCUCUCGGUUUAGUUAAGCCCUCUGGAUAAGGAGAUGUCAUAGCAUAUAUGAGUUUGAGAUAGUUCAGCUCUAAUCAGAGCAAUGAGAAGAUUAUCAGGGUGAUACUUUCAUAAGCUUACAACACUUUUAGUCUCCAAAAACUGUAACAGAGCUGAAUCACCCAAAAACCUCAAAAAUUAACUCUCUACAGCUAAUCCUUUCCCACUCCAAGUCCCAGGGUCAUGUGUUGGGAUCCUUCUGCUGUUCUAGAAAGCAUCAAUUCUCUUCUGCUGGAGGCACUUUAGGAGGCUAUAACGGAUCUGCUUAGACUUGAUGGAAUACACAAUGGGGUUCAUGAAGGGUGGGACCAAGAAGUGUAGGUUGGCCAUGAGCACUGCCAG
This 1081-nucleotide long non-coding RNA is filed under the name Callithrix jacchus (white-tufted-ear marmoset). RNAcentral's name for it is "lncRNA (ENSCJAG00000084321.1)". Lineage: Eukaryota; Metazoa; Chordata; Mammalia; Primates; Cebidae. The record is from RNAcentral.